Molecule: unclassified non-coding RNA, 291 nt
Filed under: Hevea brasiliensis (rubber tree)
Lineage: Eukaryota; Viridiplantae; Streptophyta; Magnoliopsida; Malpighiales; Euphorbiaceae
Source: RNAcentral
GCAGAACUGGUUACGCUUUAUGCCAAGCAUACUGGAAAGUCGACUGAGGAGAUUGAAGCCGAUAUCAGGCGGCCAAAAUAUUUUAGUCCCAGCGAAGCAGUUGAAUAUGGUAUCAUAGAUAAGGUACUAUACAACGAAAGAGCAACCGAGGACCGGGGAGUUGUAUCUGACCUGAAAAAGGCACAACUUAUUUAGUGUAGAAAAAUGUGGAUUGGUAAAAUAAUACCAAGAUUGAAGUUUGUGCAAAUAUUGAUAUCUAAGAAGAAAUCUGGAAUCCACAAGCAGUCUUAG